RNAcentral lists this ribosomal RNA (426 nucleotides) under uncultured bacterium. RNAcentral's name for it is "bacterial SSU rRNA". It matches the Rfam family "Bacterial small subunit ribosomal RNA", at positions 354 to 796 of the family's 1533-position model. The record is from RNAcentral.
GUGGGGAAUCUUGCACAAUGGGCGAAAGCCUGAUGCAGCAACGCCGCGUGCGGGAAGACGGCCCUAGGGUUGUAAACCGCUUUCAGCAGGGAAGAAACUGACGGUACCUGCAGAAGAAGGUGCGGCCAACUACGUGCCAGCAGCCGCGGUGACACGUAGGCACCAAGCGUUAUCCGGAUUUAUUGGGCGUAAAGAGCUCGUAGGCGGUUCGGUAAGUCGGGUGUGAAAACUCUGGGCUCAACCCAGAGACGCCACUCGAUACUGCUGUGACUAGAGUGCGGUAGGGGAGCGGGGAAUUUCUGGUGUAGCGGUGAAAUGCGCAGAUAUCAGAAGGAACACCAGUGGCGAAGGCGCCGCUCUGGGCCGUAACUGACGCUGAGGAGCGAAAGCAUGGGUAGCAAACAGGAUUAGAAACCCUAGUAGUCC